RNAcentral lists this ribosomal RNA (259 nucleotides) under uncultured bacterium. RNAcentral's name for it is "partial 16S ribosomal RNA". It matches the Rfam family "Bacterial small subunit ribosomal RNA", at positions 100 to 353 of the family's 1533-position model. The record is from RNAcentral.
CGGGGUGAGUAACGCGUGAGUAACCUGCCUUCAAGAGGGGGAUAACAUUCUGAAAAAGAAAUGCUAAUACCGCAUGACAUAUCGGAACCACAUGGUUUUGAUAUCAAAAGAUUUUAUCGCUUGAAGAUGGACUCGCGUCCGAUUAGUUAGUUGGUGAGGUAACGGCUCACCAAGACCGCGAUCGGUAGCCGGACUGAGAGGUUGAACGGCCACAUUGGGGACUGAGACACGGCCCAGACUCCUACGGGGAGGCAGCAUG